CGGACGGGUGAGUAACACGUGGAUAACCUACCUAUAAGACUGGGAUAACUUCGGGAAACCGGAGCUAAUACUGGAUAAUAUAUUGAACCGCAUGGUUCAAUAGUGAAAGACGGUUUUGCUGUCACUUAUAGAUGGAUCCGCGCCGCAUUAGCUAGUUGGUAAGGUAACGGCUUACCAAGGCAACGAUGCGUAGCCGACCUGAUAGGGUGAUCGGCCACACUGGAACUGAGACACGGUCCAG
RNAcentral lists this ribosomal RNA (241 nucleotides) under uncultured Staphylococcus sp. RNAcentral describes it as "partial 16S ribosomal RNA". It matches the Rfam family "Bacterial small subunit ribosomal RNA", at positions 99 to 334 of the family's 1533-position model. The record is from RNAcentral. Lineage: Bacteria; Bacillati; Bacillota; Bacilli; Caryophanales; Staphylococcaceae.